CACCCUAGAAUGAGCAUACAUGUCAUAUGGAUUAAACCAAUACGACCCCCCACCACCACCCUAGAAUGAGCAUACAUGUCAUAUGGGAGGAGCUGUUUGAUACAUGUCAUAUGGGAGGAGCUGUUUGAUACAUGUCAUAUGGGAGGAGCUGUUUGAUACAUGUCAUAUGGGAGGAGCUGUUUGAUACAUGUCAUAUGGGAGGAGCUGUUUGAUACAUGUCAUAUGGGAGGAGCUGUUUGAUACAUGUCAUAUGGGAGGAGCUGUUUGAUACAUGUCAUAUGGGAGGAGCUGUUUGAGUCAUGUCAUAUGGGAGGAGCUGUUUGAUACAUGUCAUAUGGGAGGAGCUGUUUGAUACAUGUCAUAUGGGAGGAGCUGUUUGAUACAUGUCAUAUGGGAGGAGCUGUUUGAUACAUGUCAUAUGGGAGGAGCUGUUUGAGUCAUGUCAUGGGAGGAGCUGUUUGAGUCAUGUCAUAUGGGAGGAGCUGUUUGAGUCAUGUCAUAUGGGAGGAGCUGUUUGAUACAUGUCAUAUGGGAGGAGCUGUUUGAUACAUGUCAUAUGGGAGGAGCUGUUUGAUACAUGUCAUAUGGGAGGAGCUAUGGAUAACUGACUGGCGUGAACUCUAACCUUUACUAUCACGGCCAGCUGUGUUUUUAACAGUGUCGAUCAAAGUAUUGGACCAUGAUGCACCAGUGAACUUGUUCACGCAUAACUCUGUACCACGGUUUCAGUUAAACGGAUAUGAAACAAGGCACGCAUACUUUAAAUUGUUUAUCAUGUCAGUUUUUUUAGUUUUUUAAAAUAUAUUUUGUAGUCAUUUUACUCGACAAUAUAAUAUGGUCUUGUUAGUAACAAAUGUAAAUACGUGUUAAUCAAUAAUGAAGUUUGAUGUAGUAGUGGUUAUAAAGUUGGUCGUAUUGUGCUAAGGUGUACAUAUUGUACAUACCACAUUUUGAAGUGUUUUCUGAACCACAAAUUGUAACGUGAUAUUUUGCACUAUGGUAACAGAAGUAACAGAAAAGGUUAUCUGCAGUACUGCAAAAACAAAAUAAACAAAAAAAUCUGAA
Oncorhynchus tshawytscha (Chinook salmon) is the source of this 1065-nucleotide long non-coding RNA. RefSeq lists it as uncharacterized. The transcript has 2 exons. NCBI's taxonomy places the organism in Eukaryota, Metazoa, Chordata, Actinopteri, Salmoniformes, Salmonidae. The record is from RefSeq and is a predicted model, not a curated record.